GUAGUCCACGCCCUAAACGAUGUCGACUAGUUGUCGGAGGGUAACUCCUUCGGUAACGCAGCUAACGCGUGAAGUCGACCGCCUGGGGAGUACGGUCGCAAGAUUAAAACUCAAAGGAAUUGACGGGGACCCGCACAAGCGGUGGAUGAUGUGGAUUAAUUCGAUGCAACGCGAAAAACCUUACCUACCCUUGACAUGCCACUAACGAAGCAGAGAUGCAUUAGGUGCCCGAAAGGGAAGUGGACACAGGUGCUGCAUGGCUGUCGUCAGCUCGUGUCGUGAGAUGUUGGGUUAAG
This 296-nucleotide ribosomal RNA is filed under the name uncultured bacterium. Its description in RNAcentral is "partial 16S ribosomal RNA". It matches the Rfam family "Bacterial small subunit ribosomal RNA", at positions 790 to 1084 of the family's 1533-position model. The record is from RNAcentral.